ACGUGGGCUGCAAUGUUUUUUUUAGUAGAGUUUAUUUUUAGUCGCGUUUUUUUUUUAGUAGAGUUAUUUUUUAGUCUUUUUUUUUUUUUGUCUUGGUUUCUGUCUUGGUUUCCGUCUUGUUCUUGUCUAUUAUAUGUUGAGUUGUUCGGUAAUCUAUUGAAAGUGGACGCUGUGCUGACAAUCGACAUUUCAUCUUAUCCGAAUAUAAAUCAAGUAAUCUUCCACCUUAUCUUCCCACUCCUGUCUAUCUCUCUCUUAUUACUGUCAUGCUUAGUCCCUCAUGAAUCUCCGUAGUAACAAUCAACAUCACCUCUUAUCCGAAUACACUUCAACUCCUACUCCGGUUUUUUUGUCCCUCUCCAGAUCUCCGUCUCUUAGUAUUGCCAUGUCAAGUCGCUCAUGAAUCUACUGAAACUGAACUCCGUACUAACAAUUAAUAUCUUUAUCUUUUCCGAACAUAUACAUCAACUCCUAUUCCGGCUUUUUGUCCUUCUCCAGUCUGUCUCUUCCUUCCUCAUCCCGUUCUCCAUCGCAACUCCUGUUUAAGUAGUUCAGAAACCUAUUGAAAACCUACAAUUGAAACUCCGUACUAGCAAUCAAUAUUUUCAUCUUUUCCGAAUAUAUACCAACUUCUAUUCCGGUUUUUCGUCCCUCUCCAGUCUGUCUCUUCCUUCCUCACCCUGUUCUCCUGUUUAAGUAGUUCAGAAACCUAUUUAAAACCUACAAUUGAAACUCCGAACUAACAAUCAGUAUUUUCAUCUUUUCCAAAUAUACAUCAACUCCUAUUCCGUUUUUUUGUCCUUCAAUCUCUCUCAUAUCCUCACCCUGUUCUCCUGUUUAGUAGUUCAGAAACCUAUUGAAAACCUACAAUUGAAACUCCCGUACUAACAAUCCAUAUUUCAUCUUUUCCCAAUAUAUACGAGCUUCUAUUCCGGUUAUUUGUCCCUCUGCAGUCUAUCGUCAGUCCAAUCAAGUGAGAGUCAUUUGGACAACUAUCAAUCAACCAUCUCACACGUGAACAUCAAUUUCCUCCUAUCUCGCUUUAAUUUCCCCUCCUCGUCGGUCUUGUUACAUCAGAGUGAACGGAUUUGUGUGUCUUAUUCCCCACACAUUUUAGGUCAUGGUGUGCAGCUGUGGCCACUAAAAUCGGUCUAAAUCGCUCUUAACUCAGGUGUGUGGGGGUCUGGGGGGGCUGUUGCGAGUGUUUUAAAUAAUUGCUCCAACACCUCGCUGAACAUGCAUCGACUAAAACAGUAAGGCCAAUAUUUUAAGACUUUCGCUCCUCAAAUCAGCUAUUUCUAAAGGUCAAAGAACGGGUCAGUCGGGUUCUAAUGGGUGUUUCUUCAGGCUCACGGUACAGAGGAAGGGUCAAACUACCACCAGGAUCAUAAAACUACUCCUGG
This is a long non-coding RNA of Eriocheir sinensis (Chinese mitten crab), 1403 nucleotides long. RefSeq lists it as uncharacterized. The transcript has 2 exons. The record is from RefSeq and is a predicted model, not a curated record. NCBI's taxonomy places the organism in Eukaryota, Metazoa, Arthropoda, Malacostraca, Decapoda, Varunidae.